AAGUCGUAACAAGGUUUCCGUAGGUGAACCUGCGGAAGGAUCAUUACUGAAUAAAGCGUGGUCGGGGGUUGUCGCUGGCAUCCUUGUGAUGCAUGUGCACACCUCUGCCACUCUGUCAUUCAUUCACCUUCCACCUGUGCAUUCUCUUGUAGGCCAGAUUGCCAUUUUUCGCCUUUGUGUGUCUUGAGAUUUGCUGCUGCAGUGACACAGCUCCUCUCGUCUGCAUCUGGUCUAUGCUCUUUUUACCCAAACCCCUGUGAACAUACCUAUACGUUGCCUCGGCGGAUCAGCCCGCGCCCUGUAAAAAGGGACGGCCCGCCCGAGGACCCUAAACUCUGUUUUUAGUGGAACUUCUGAGUAAAACAAACAAAUAAAUCAAAACUUUCAACAACGGAUCUCUUGGUUCUG
Molecule: unclassified non-coding RNA, 408 nt
Filed under: fungal sp.
Lineage: Eukaryota; Fungi
Description: partial internal transcribed spacer region
Rfam family: Eukaryotic small subunit ribosomal RNA (bases 1-46)
Source: RNAcentral